RNAcentral lists this ribosomal RNA (440 nucleotides) under uncultured bacterium. RNAcentral's name for it is "bacterial SSU rRNA". It matches the Rfam family "Bacterial small subunit ribosomal RNA", at positions 340 to 773 of the family's 1533-position model. The record is from RNAcentral.
UACGGAAGGCAGCAGUGGGGAAUAUUGCACAAUGGGCGCAAGCCUGAUGCAGCCAUGCCGCGUGUAUGAAGAAGGCCUUCGGGUUGUAAAGUACUUUCAGUCGUGAGGAAGGUGUUAAGGUUAAUAACCUUAGCAAUUGACGUUAGCGACAGAAGAAGCACCGGCUAACUCCGUGCCAGCAGCCGCGGUAAUACGGAGGGUGCGAGCGUUAUUCGGAAUUAUUGGGCGUAAAGAGCGCGUAGGCUGAUUAGUAAGUUAAAGUGAAAUCCCAAAGCUUAACUUUGGAAUUGCUUUUUAAACUGCUAGUCUAGAGAUUGAAAGAGGAUAGAGGAAUUCCUAGUGUAGAGGUGAAAUUCGUAAAUAUUAGGAGGAACACCAGUGGCGAAGGCGUCUAUCUGGGUUCAAAUCUGACGCUGAGGCGCGAGGCGUGGGGAGCAAAC